GACGAACGCUGGCGGCGUGCUUAACACAUAAAAGUCGAACGGAAAGGCCCUGCUUUUGUGGGGUGCUCGAGUGGCGAACGGGUGAGUAACACGUGAGUAACCUGCCCUUGACUUUGGGAUAACUUCAGGAAACUGGGGCUAAUACCGGAUAGGAGCUCCUGCUGCAUGGUGGGGGUUGGAAAGUUUCGGCGGUUGGGGAUGGACUCGCGGCUUAUCAGCUUGUUGGUGGGGUAGUGGCUUACCAAGGCUUUGACGGGUAGCCGGCCUGAGAGGGUGACCGGCCACAUUGGGACUGAGAUACGGCCCAGACUCCUACGGGAGGCAGCAGUGGGGAAUAUUGCACAAUGGGCGGAAGCCUGAUGCAGCAACGCCGCGUGCGGGAUGACGGCCUUCGGGUUGUAAACCGCUUUCGCCUGUGACGAAGCGUGAGUGACGGUAAUGGGUAAAGAAGCACCGGCUAACUACGUG
RNAcentral lists this ribosomal RNA (468 nucleotides) under uncultured bacterium. Its description in RNAcentral is "partial 16S ribosomal RNA". It matches the Rfam family "Bacterial small subunit ribosomal RNA", at positions 28 to 507 of the family's 1533-position model. The record is from RNAcentral.